Gigantopelta aegis is the source of this 208-nucleotide long non-coding RNA. RefSeq lists it as uncharacterized. The record is from RefSeq and is a predicted model, not a curated record. Lineage: Eukaryota; Metazoa; Mollusca; Gastropoda; Neomphalida; Peltospiridae. The transcript is spliced from 2 exons.
UAGCACUAGUGACUACAUGUAGGUGAUAUCCACUGUAUUGUCAUGAUAGCACUAGUCAUUAGGUAAUAACUGGCGUCUGUAGUGAUAGCACUAGUCAUUAGGUGAUAACUGGUGUACUGUGGCAGAAAUUGUUAGAAAAUAAUAUAAAUAGAAAAUUCUUUAAAAUAAUUUAUCAAAUGUAUCAAGGAAUAAAGUCAUGUAUUUGUAC